Molecule: ribosomal RNA, 714 nt
Filed under: uncultured bacterium
Lineage: Bacteria
Description: bacterial SSU rRNA
Rfam family: Bacterial small subunit ribosomal RNA
Source: RNAcentral
UAGAUACCCUGGUAGUCCGCGCAGUAAACGAUGAAUGUUAGUCGUCGGGAUGCAAGUCAUUUCGGUGAUGCAGUUAACACAUUAAACAUUCCGCCUGGGGAGUACGGUCGCAAGAUUAAAACUCAAAGGAAUAGACGGGGACCCGCACAAGUGGUGGAGCAUGUGGUUUAAUUCGAAGAUACGCGAAGAACCUUACCUAGCCUUGACAUUGAUAGAAUCUUCCAGAGAUGGAGGAGUGCCUUUCGGGGAACUUGAAAACGGGUGCUGCACGGCUGUCGUCAGCUCGUGUCGUGAGAUGUUGGGUUAAGUCCCGCAACGAGCGCAACCCUCGUCAUUAGUUACUAACAGUUCGGCUGAGGACUCUAAUGAGACUGCCUUCGUAAGGAGGAGGAAGGUGAGGACGACGUCAAGUCAUCAUGGCCCUUACGGCUAGGGCGACACACGUGCUACAAUGGUUAGGACAAUGAGAAGCGAUACCGCGAGGUGGAGCAAAUCUAUAAACCUAAUCUCAGUUCGGAUUGUAGUCUGCAACUCGACUACAUGAAGCUGGAAUCACUAGUAAUCGUAGAUCAGCCAUGCUACGGUGAAUACGUUCCCGGGUCUUGUACUCACCGCCCGUCACACCAUGGGAGUUGAUUUCACCCGAAGCGGGGAAGCUAAACUGGCUACCCUCCACGGUGGAAUUAGCGACUGGGGUGAAGUCGUAACAAGGUA